UUUUACCAAAAGAAGAGUGGUGACAACUAGUCUCAUCUGGUAUUCUCCAAGUUCCCAGUUCAAACCUGCAAGGUUUUCUUAGCCUGCCCAACUUUUGCUCAUUGCUGCUGACUCUGAAGAAAUUAUGAGCUUGUGCUUGAUUUUUCCUAUUGGAAAGAGGUCCACUCAGAUCAUUUGGGCUUCUCAGCUGCAUAAAGAUACUGCAGAAGUAUUAAGAGUGGUAUGCAUGUCUCCACAAAGUCAGCAGCAAGCAGCAGCAUUGCUAUGA
RNAcentral lists this long non-coding RNA (268 nucleotides) under Anser brachyrhynchus (Pink-footed goose). RNAcentral's name for it is "lncRNA (ENSABRG00000004936.1)". The record is from RNAcentral. Lineage: Eukaryota; Metazoa; Chordata; Aves; Anseriformes; Anatidae.